GUGUGAGCCCAGGGCCACAUGCCCACUGUGAAAGUUGGAGACUGUGGACGUCUCCUGAGCCCCUGGUCUGGAGGCUUCGUGGCAUUCAGGCUGUGGUGUGGGACCUCCCCUCAGCCAUGACAGGAGCUGCUCGUUGGACAUCAGGCCACGCUUGCCUGUGUGCCAGGGCCAUAGUUGAAGGUCAAAGCCUGAGGCUGGGAGAGCAGGGGGUGCGCAGACCGACAGGUGGAGCAUGACUUUAUCCUGCAGGCCGAGCGGGAAACGUUCAUCGAGCAGAUGAAGGAUGUCAUGGACA
Molecule: small RNA, 295 nt
Filed under: Pan troglodytes (chimpanzee)
Lineage: Eukaryota; Metazoa; Chordata; Mammalia; Primates; Hominidae
Description: processed transcript
Source: RNAcentral